This 389-nucleotide ribosomal RNA is filed under the name uncultured bacterium. RNAcentral's name for it is "bacterial SSU rRNA". It matches the Rfam family "Bacterial small subunit ribosomal RNA", at positions 30 to 419 of the family's 1533-position model. The record is from RNAcentral.
AUUGAACGCUGGCGGCAUGCCUUACACAUGCAAGUCGAACGGUAACAGCACUUCGGUGGCUGACGAGUGGCGAACGGGUGAGUAAUACAUCGGAACGUGCCCGAGAGUGGGGGAUAACGCAGCGAAAGCUGUGCUAAUACCGCAUACGAUCUACGGAUGAAAGCAGGGGAUUCGCAAGGACCUUGCGCUCAUGGAGCGGCCGAUGGCAGAUUAGGUAGUUGGUGGGAUAAAAGCUUACCAAGCCGACGAUCUGUAGCUGGUCUGAGAGGACGACCAGCCACACUGGGACUGAGACACGGCCCAGACUCCUACGGGAGGCAGCAGUGGGGAAUUUUGGACAAUGGGCGAAAGCCUGAUCCAGCCAUGCCGCGUGCAGGAUGAAGGCCUUC